GUGACCGAUAGUGAACCAGUACCGUGAGGGAAAGGUGAAAAGAACCCCGGGAGGGGAGUGAAAGAGAACCUGAAACCAUAUGCCUACAAGAAGUCAGAGCCCGUUAAAGGGUGAUGGCGUGCCUUUUGUAGAAUGAACCGGCGAGUUACUGUAUGGAGCGAGGUUAAGCAGGAUAUGCGGAGCCGAAGCGAAAGCGAGUCUUAAGAGGGCGAAAGUUGCAUGCAGUAGACCCGAAACCGGGUGAUCUAGCCAUGACCAGGUUGAAGUUGGGGUAAAACCCGAUGGAGGACCGAACCGACCCCCGUUGAAACGUUGGCGGAUGAGUUGUGGCUAGGGGUGAAAUUCCAAUCGAACCCGGAGAUAGCUGGUUCUCCCCGAAAUAGCUUUAGGGCUAGCGUCGAGGUAGAGAGUUGCGUGAAGGUAGAGCACUGAAUAUGUGAUGGCCCCAUCUCGGGGUACUGAGCAUAAUCAAACUGCGAAUGUCACGGAAACAUACUCGGCAGUCAGACAGCGGGUGAUAAGGUCCGUUGUCAAGAGGGAAACAGCCCAGACCAUCAGCUAAGGUCCCAAAAUGUAUGCUAAGUGGAAAAGGAUGUGGAGAUGUACAGACAACUAGGAGGUUGGCUCAGAAGCAGCCAUCCUUUAAAGAGUGCGUAAUAGCUCACUAGUCGAAUGACUCUGCGCCGAUAAUUUACCGGGGCUAAGCAUACUACCGAAGCUAUGGAUCCCAAGGGAUGGUAGGGGAGCGUUCCAUGAACGGAGAAGCGCGAUCGAGAGGACGCGUGGAGAUCAUGGAAGAGAGAAUGCCGGUGUGAGUAGCGGAACGUGGGUGAGAAUCCCACGCACCGAAAACCCAAGGUUUCCAGAGGAAGGUUCGUCCGCUCUGGGUAAGUCGGGACCUAAGGCGAGGCCGAGAGGCGUAGUCGAUGGACAACAGGUAGAGAUUCCUGUACUCAUAUAUAUGUGAAGGAAUGACGGAGAGAGGAAGCUGCAGCCAGCGGCUGGAAGAGCUGGUGCAAGCGAGAUAUCGGGAUGGCAGGCAAAUCCACCAUCCGAAACGAGAAGGCGUGAAGCGUACGGAAAGCUAAGGCGAGUACGGAAGGCAGUGGAGGAGCUUCCAAGAAAAGUUUCUAACGAAAGUAUAUGUGACCCGUACCGAAAAUGGACACACAUGGGUGAGGAGAGAAUCCUAAGGUGAGCGAGAGAACUAUAGCUAAGGAACUCUGCAAAAUGACUCCGUAACUUAGGGAGAAGGAGUGCUCAUAGAGAUAUGAGCCGCAGUGAAACGGCCCAAGCGACUGUUUACCAAAAACACAGCUCUCUGCUAAGCCGCAAGGCGAAGUAUAGGGGGUGACGCCUGCCCGGUGCUGGAAGGUUAAGGGGAGGGGUUAACGCAAGUGAAGCCCUGAACUGAAGCCCCAGUAAACGGCGGCCGUAACUAUAACGGUCCUAAGGUAGCGAAAUUCCUUGUCAGGUAAGUUCUGACCCGCACGAAAGGCGUAACGAUUUGGGCGCUGUCUCAGCUGUAGACUCGGUGAAGUCUUAGUACCUGUGAAGAUGCAGGUUACCCGCGACUAGACGGAAAGACCCCAUGGAGCUUCACUGCAGGUUGAUAUUGGGAUUUGAUGCAGCAUGUACAGGAUAGGUAGGAGGCAAAGAGAUGGAUACGCCAGUAUUCAAGGAGCCGCUGUUGGGAUACUACCCCUGUUGUAUUGGAUUUCUAACCGGACGACGUAAAGCCGUUGACGGGACAGUGUCAGUCGGGCAGUUUGACUGGGGCGGUCGCCUCCCAAAGAGUAACGGAGGCGCCCAAAGAUACCCUCAGCUUGGAUGGAAACCAAGCGCAGAGUGCAAAGGCAAAAGGGUGUUUGACUGCGAGACCUACAAGUCGAGCAGGGACGAAAGUCGGGCUUAGUGAUCCGGCGGUGCUGAAUGGAAAGGCCGUCGCUCAACGGAUAAAAGCUACCCUGGGGAUAACAGGCUGAUCUCCCCCAA
RNAcentral lists this ribosomal RNA (1995 nucleotides) under human gut metagenome. RNAcentral's name for it is "bacterial LSU rRNA". It matches the Rfam family "Bacterial large subunit ribosomal RNA", at positions 480 to 2495 of the family's 2925-position model. The record is from RNAcentral.